GUAGGUGGCGAGCGUUGUCCGGAUUUACUGGGCGUAAAGCGCGCGCAGGCGGGCUGAUAAGUCCGGGGUGAAAUCUCACGGCUCAACUGUGAGUGGUCCCCGGAUACUGUUCGUCUUGAGGGGUCUAGAGGAGAGCGGAAUUCCCGGUGUAGUGGUGGAAUGCGUAGAUAUCGGGAAGAACACCAGUGGCGAAAGCGGCUCUCUGGGGAUUACCUGACGCUGAGGCGCGAAAGCGUGGGGAGCAAACAGGAUUAGAUACCCUGGUAGUCCACGCCGUAAACUAUGGGUGCUAGCCGUUGGGAAGCUUGCUUUUCAGUGGCGCAGCUAACGCAUUAAGCACCCCGCCUGGGGAGUACGGUCGCAAGAUUA
RNAcentral lists this ribosomal RNA (369 nucleotides) under uncultured bacterium. Its description in RNAcentral is "bacterial SSU rRNA". It matches the Rfam family "Bacterial small subunit ribosomal RNA", at positions 527 to 896 of the family's 1533-position model. The record is from RNAcentral.